RNAcentral lists this ribosomal RNA (497 nucleotides) under uncultured bacterium. RNAcentral describes it as "partial 16S ribosomal RNA". It matches the Rfam family "Bacterial small subunit ribosomal RNA", at positions 28 to 507 of the family's 1533-position model. The record is from RNAcentral.
GAUGAACGCUGGCGGCGUGCCUAAUACAUGCAAGUCGAGCGAACAGACGAGGAGCUUGCUCCUCUGACGUUAGCGGCGGACGGGUGAGUAACACGUGGAUAACCUACCUAUAAGACUGGGAUAACUUUGGGAAACCGGAGCUAAUACCGGAUAAUAUAUUGAACCGCAUGGUUCAAUAGUGAAAGACGGUUUUGCUGUCACUUAUAGAUGGAUCCGCGCCGCAUUAGCUAGUUGGUAAGGUAACGGCUUACCAAGGCGACGAUGCGUAGCCGACCUGAGAGGGUGAUCGGCCACACUGGAACUGAGACACGGUCCAGACUCCUACGGGAGGCAGCAGUAGGGAAUCUUCCGCAAUGGGCGUAAGCCUGACGGAGCAACGCCGCGUGAGUGAUGAAGGUCUUCGGAUCGUAAAACUCUGUUAUUAGGGAAGAACAAAUGUGUAAGUAACUAUGCACGUCUUGACGGUACCUAAUCAGAAAGCCACGGCUAACUACGUG